AGCGCAUACGGUGGAUGCCUUGGCAGUCAGAGGCGAUGAAAGACGUGGUAGCCUGCGAAAAGCUUCGGGGAGUCGGCAAACAGACUGUGAUCCGGAGAUGUCUGAAUGGGGGAACCCAGCCAUCAUAAGAUGGUUAUCUUGUACUGAAUACAUAGGUGCAAGAGGCGAACCAGGGGAACUGAAACAUCUAAGUACCCUGAGGAAAAGAAAUCAACCGAGAUUCCCUUAGUAGUGGCGAGCGAACGGGGACCAGCCCUUAAGUUGUAUUGAGAUUAGCGGAACGUUCUGGAAAGGACGGCCAUAGUGGGUGAUAGCCCUGUACGCGAAAAUCCCUUUGCAAUGAAAUCGAGUAGGACGGGGCACGAGAAACCUUGUCUGAAUAUGGGGGGACCAUCCUCCAAGGCUAAAUACUACUGACUGACCGAUAGUGAACCAGUACCGUGAGGGAAAGGCGAAAAGAACCGCGGAGAGCGGAGUGAAAUAGAUCCUGAAACCGUAUGCGUACAAGCAGUGGGAGCCCACUUUGUUGGGUGACUGCGUACCUUUUGUAUAAUGGGUCAGCGACUUAUUUUCAGUGGCGAGCUUAACCGAAUAGGGGAGGCGUAGCGAAAGCGAGUCUUAAUAGGGCGUCUAGUCGCUGGGAAUAGACCCGAAACCGGGCGAUCUAUCCAUGGGCAGGUUGAAGGUUGGGUAACACUAACUGGAGGACCGAACCGACUACCGUUGAAAAGUUAGCGGAUGACCUGUGGAUCGGAGUGAAAGGCUAAUCAAGCUCGGAGAUAGCUGGUUCUCCUCGAAAGCUAUUUAGGUAGCGCCUCAUGUAUCACUGUAGGGGGUAGAGCACUGUUUCGGCUAGGGGGUCAUCCCGACUUACCAAACCGAUGCAAACUCCGAAUACCUACAAGUGCCGAGCAUGGGAGACACACGGCGGGUGCUAACGUCCGUCGUGAAAAGGGAAACAACCCAGACCGUCAGCUAAGGUCCCAAAGUCAUGGUUAAGUGGGAAACGAUGUGGGAAGGCUUAGACAGCUAGGAGGUUGGCUUAGAAGCAGCCACCCUUUAAAGAAAGCGUAAUAGCUCACUAGUCGAGUCGGCCUGCGCGGAAGAUGUAACGGGGCUCAAACCAUGCACCGAAGCUACGGGUAUCAUCUUAGGAUGAUGCGGUAGAGGAGCGUUCUGUAAGCCUGUGAAGGUGAGUUGAGAAGCUUGCUGGAGGUAUCAGAAGUGCGAAUGCUGACAUGAGUAACGACAAUGGGUGUGAAAAACACCCACGCCGAAAGACCAAGGUUUCCUGCGCAACGUUAAUCGACGCAGGGUUAGUCGGUCCCUAAGGCGAGGCUGAAAAGCGUAGUCGAUGGAAAACAGGUUAAUAUUCCUGUACUUCUGGUUAUUGCGAUGGAGGGACGGAGAAGGCUAGGCCAGCCUGGCGUUGGUUGUCCAGGUUUAAGGUGGUAGGCUGAGAUCUUAGGUAAAUCCGGGAUCUCAAGGCCGAGAGCUGAUGACGAGUGUUCUUUAGAACACGAAGUGGUUGAUGCCAUGCUUCCAAGAAAAGCUUCUAAGCUUCAGGUAACCAGGAACCGUACCCCAAACCGACACAGGUGGUUGGGUAGAGAAUACCAAGGCGCUUGAGAGAACUCGGGUGAAGGAACUAGGCAAAAUGGCACCGUAACUUCGGGAGAAGGUGCGCCGGUGAGGGUGAAGCAUUUACUGCGUAAGCCCACGCCGGUCGAAGAUACCAGGCCGCUGCGACUGUUUAUUAAAAACACAGCACUCUGCAAACACGAAAGUGGACGUAUAGGGUGUGACGCCUGCCCGGUGCCGGAAGGUUAAUUGAUGGGGUUAGCGCAAGCGAAGCUCUUGAUCGAAGCCCCGGUAAACGGCGGCCGUAACUAUAACGGUCCUAAGGUAGCGAAAUUCCUUGUCGGGUAAGUUCCGACCUGCACGAAUGGCGUAACGAUGGCGGCGCUGUCUCCACCCGAGACUCAGUGAAAUUGAAAUCGCUGUGAAGAUGCAGUGUAUCCGCGGCUAGACGGAAAGACCCCGUGAACCUUUACUAUAGCUUUGCACUGGACUUUGAAUUUGCUUGUGUAGGAUAGGUGGGAGGCUUUGAAGCGUGGACGCCAGUCUGCGUGGAGCCAACCUUGAAAUACCACCCUGGCAACUUUGAGGUUCUAACUCAGGUCCGUUAUCCGGAUCGAGGACAGUGUAUGGUGGGUAGUUUGACUGGGGCGGUCUCCUCCUAAAGAGUAACGGAGGAGUACGAAGGUGCGCUCAGACCGGUCGGAAAUCGGUCGUAGAGUAUAAAGGCAAAAGCGCGCUUGACUGCGAGACAGACACGUCGAGCAGGUACGAAAGUAGGUCUUAGUGAUCCGGUGGUUCUGUAUGGAAGGGCCAUCGCUCAACGGAUAAAAGGUACUCCGGGGAUAACAGGCUGAUACCGCCCAAGAGUUCAUAUCGACGGCGGUGUUUGGCACCUCGAUGUCGGCUCAUCACAUCCUGGGGCUGAAGCCGGUCCCAAGGGUAUGGCUGUUCGCCAUUUAAAGUGGUACGCGAGCUGGGUUUAGAACGUCGUGAGACAGUUCGGUCCCUAUCUGCCGUGGACGUUUGAGAUUUGAGAGGGGCUGCUCCUAGUACGAGAGGACCGGAGUGGACGAACCUCUGGUGUUCCGGUUGUCACGCCAGUGGCAUUGCCGGGUAGCUAUGUUCGGAAAAGAUAACCGCUGAAAGCAUCUAAGCGGGAAACUUGCCUCAAGAUGAGAUCUCACUGGAACCUUGA
RNAcentral lists this ribosomal RNA (2776 nucleotides) under Pseudomonas syringae pv. cerasicola. RNAcentral describes it as "bacterial LSU rRNA". It matches the Rfam family "Bacterial large subunit ribosomal RNA". Lineage: Bacteria; Pseudomonadati; Pseudomonadota; Gammaproteobacteria; Pseudomonadales; Pseudomonadaceae. The record is from RNAcentral.